CGCUCGUUUUAAAACUCCCGGAGAGGAAAGUCCGGACACCAUAGGGCAGGAUGCCGUGCGAGCUUCACCGCAAGCACGGGAGGCACGCGUUAAGGCGUGUCGACGGACAGUGUCACAGAGAAUAUACCGCCCGCCGUCGCCCCGUUCGCGGGGCUAUGGCGAGGUAAGGGUGAAAAGGUGGGGUAAGAGCCCACCGCGUCGGCUGUGAAGCCGGCGGCACGAUAAACCCCUUCCGGUGCAAGGCAAAAUAGGCGACUGGUCGGCUCGGCCUUUAGUCGCGGGUAUGUCGCACCCAGCCACCGCUCCGCCUCGGCGGAGCUACGGCGAGGCAGGUCUCAGCUUCGGUUGAGGCUUGAGAUAAAUGACGGUCGAAGUCCCGCAGCCGCGGGAUGGGACAAAAUCCGGCUUAUCGGCC
RNAcentral lists this RNase P RNA (415 nucleotides) under marine eukaryotic metagenome. RNAcentral describes it as "Bacterial RNase P class A". It matches the Rfam family "Bacterial RNase P class A". Rfam says of the family: Ribonuclease P (RNase P) is a ubiquitous endoribonuclease, found in archaea, bacteria and eukarya as well as chloroplasts and mitochondria. The record is from RNAcentral.